AUACUGGUUAGGGGACAAGAACAUUCUUAAUUAAAAGAUUACUAAUGAUAAUUUUUCAUGCAACCAUGGGAACAGGAUUAAUGCUUUAUUGCUUGCUUAUUAAAAUGAGAUGUGCCAUUAUGGAAGUGUAGAAUUUACAGGCACAAAUGUUGAGGUCCUUGUGUCUGCAGCCUCUGUCUUUUAUUUCUGGGAACUUCAUGAAGGGAGAAGGGAAUAAAUAAUUUUAUUUUCACCCAUCUCUAAGGAAAUAUUAUAGAUGUUGGGAAUGAAAAAAUGCUUCUCUGAUCUACAGAUUUUUACAGUUUAUCUGUAAGGAUCCAAAGCAGCACUUUGGAGGUAGAGUCUGGAUUCUCCUGUGUGCUGAACCAUGGAGGCAAAGAAUAAACUUGCUGGCACUUUGGUUGUCUGUCCGUAGAUGGUUUUCAGGCUGUCUAAAGCUGCUUUGGGAUGCUGGCUUCUGCUAGCAAUCCUUUUCACAACUUCUGUUGCUCAGCAUGGACCAUAUUAUUUUUCUCUAAGCAUACUUAUUUCCUCUAUUGUUUUUCUUUCUCCUUGUUUUCUUUCUCUAUUUUCUCCCAUCCUAGCAAAGGAUUUAACAUCACCUAUAUCAGGAAAUGUGGAAAUCACAGGGCAAAGUGACUUUUUCCAUCUGCUACGUCCCCAUCUGAUAGCAAAUUGUGCAAAUCCUCAUUGGUGCCUUUAAACCAUGCCAUUUUAAGGAACUAUGUGGCUGUCAGGAAGAACAUAAUGACACUGGGGGUUACAGCCUGACUUUGUACAGCUGUGCAAACCAGCAGCUUAACUUUGGAGUUGGCACUAUGCUCAGAGUCAUAGGGAAGAAUGAUGAAAUCAUACCUCCUGCCGUGGUCAUCUUUUCCCCAUCAAAGCAGGAGAUCCAGCAGAAGAGCAAGGCCACGCUGGUGUGCCUGGCCUCUGGUUUCUACCCUGACCACUUGACUCUGGUGUGGAGGGUGAAUGGUGUGAAAAGGACUGAAGGGGUGGGCACAGACGAGUCCUCCACACAGAAUGGGAGCACCUACUCACUGACCAGCCGACUGAGGAUGCCAGCCUGGGAAUGGUUCAACCCUCUGAAUCGCUUCGAGUGUGUUGCCAGUUUUUUUCAGAAUGGAACAACAGCAUCAGUAAACAAAUUUAUCCAUGGUGAUGCUGGUUGUGCACUCACAGAAGAGUCGUACUUGCGGUAUGGAAAUUCCCUGAAGCUCACUUACCUCAUCCUCUGUGGCAAAGCCUUGGUCUAUGCAGUUUUGGUGAGUGGUCUGGUGUGGACAGGCAAGGUGAGUCAGAGUGGCCCUGGAAGGCUGGGCUCACUCACUGGUCAAGGAUCAGUGGAUGCAGGUUAAACCCCUUCUCAGAGGUGUGGCUGUUCUGCAGGUGCUCUGCCAGGCUUUGUGGAGUUCCACUUGAAAAAUCAGAAAUUAUGGGUUUUCUCUUACCGUUUUUCCAAAACUCAAAUAAAAUCAAUGCUAUCUAGCAGAGAAAUUCCUUCUCACAAUCCUCUUUAAACACAUGAAAAAGAUGAGAAUUAAGGACAAGUUGCCCAGAAAGUAAAUAAGGGAAAUAUCAGAUAUGUCACGCAUUUGUGUAACCAUUGCGAAGGGGCUUACACCUGCAGUGAAAAUAAUAAGCAUAUUUUUUAAAGUGAUGCAGGAGAUAAAUCUGAUUAAAUAUUUACAAAGAUUUAAGAAGAACAGUGGAUUGAUCUGAAAGGAUGGGAUAAUUCAACUAACCAAGAGGAAAUGCUUUUUAUUAGUAAGUUUUUCCUGUGGCUGAAACAUACAUGCACAGUGAGAGCAGCAGAAGUCUCAGCGCUUGUCUGUUCAAAAGCAGAACAGGGAGAUGUAUUUGAAAAGUGACCUGGUAGAGUUGAGGGCAAAGAUGAGAACAAUCUCAGUUGUAUUUUUUGGUCCUUUUGCAAGGAUAGAAUGGAAGGUGUAGAUAUGUCCAUUUCUGGAUCAUGGAAUCCUAGAAUCGCAGAAUGGUUUAGGUGAGAAAGAACAUUUAAAGAUUACCUAGUUCCAUCCCCACCCUGAAAUGGGCAGGGACAUCUCUC
This is a non-coding RNA of Passer domesticus (house sparrow), 2071 nucleotides long. The record is from the annotation of a RefSeq genome assembly. Lineage: Eukaryota; Metazoa; Chordata; Aves; Passeriformes; Passeridae.